AAAAAUUAGCCGGGUGUGGUGGUGUGCGACUGUAAUCCCUGCUAAUGGGGAGGCGGAGGUUGCAGUGAGAGGAGAUCGCACCACUGCACUGCAGCCUGGGCGACAAAGCAAGACUCCAUCUCAAAACAAACAAACAAACAAACAAACAAACAAAAAACAGACGAAAUAGGGUUUGAGUAUGUAGUCUGCUCUCAACAUGAGAUAGUAAAGUCUUUGCUUCCCUUAUAUUCUGUUAAUUAACUCAUUUGAUGCACAUCGAUGUAUAAAGCCUUUAACUUCUAUUUAUUCUUUUCCUUGAAAAGCAUGCGGAAUGCCUUCUCAGGACUCUCCCAUUUUUUAUUUGUGAACACCCACUGGCAUUCCCGGAUACGAAGCUUGCAAGAAGGUGUGAACCGCCCUAUACUCGUGAGCCCCUGGGGCUCUGUACUCUUUCCAGCCCACAUUUGACCUCAGUCAAUUUUUAAAUGAUUCCAGCUAAAUUCUUCUUACCAGUGCCCAGCUGUACCUGCCUUAGGUAAUCCUCUUACUCUGGGCUAUGAACUUGCUACUGCCAAGAUGGAUGCCAUGAAAAAAAGAGAUCUCAUCAAAAUGGUCACAGAGAGAUGGAGGGCCUCUGUGUAGAUGGCAGGGUGGUGGUGGCCGUGUAACUAGCUGCCCGGUGAGGAGCAGCCCUUGGGGAGAGCCCAGGUAGGACCAGGAGAAGCAGAAAUAGAGAAAAGUGAAAGAUCGAGGUGGAAAGAACAUGAGGGACAAGAGCUCUGCAUGGCCACAUCACCAGCAGUCUUGUUAUUACAAUGAGGAUGAAGGGACUGAAAAGAGGGGAAGAGAUGGAAUUCAUCAAACAACAGUGCUCAUUCAUACAAGGUUCUGCUCUUGGGUGCUAUCUCCUUAGUUUUGAGAAUAUGAAGGUUUGUUUAGAAAAAAAAAAGCAGAAAAAAUUCACUGGAAGAUUUCACAUUUGUAUAUAUCUUUAUGAAAUGUGACAGUGAAGUGUUAGGGUAGAGAUAUUUGAUCUGAUUACCAUUAGGAUAAAAUCAAAUCUCCUUACCAUGUCUUACAUGUGUACUUGUCCAAUCUUGUCUCCUAUAAUUGUCCAACCAACCCGUUCUGUUCCAGCCUCACUGGCCUUCUUAUUCUUUCACGAAGCUCACACUGUCCUCCAGAGCCUUGCACUCUCUUUUGCCUGGAAUGCUCUCCCAGAUCUUAACAUGAUAGGAAAACAAAAGACAACUGUUUGUCAUGUCUACUACAGUCUCAGCCCCAUGAGGCAGAGUCCAUGCCCAUUUUCCUUCCAUGCAACAUUCCUGGCACCUAGAGAGUGACUGAUGCAUAAUGGCUGGUAAAAUAUUUGAUUAAAAAAUAUUUUAGUGUAUUUCCUCCCCCAAAAUAUACAUACACAACAGAGGCAGUUAUUUUGUCUAUAUCUUUAGCACAUUUUAGGCAUUUAGUAAAUUUCUGUUGAAUCCAUAUGGAAUUCUUCAGAUUGAUCUGUGAACACUUUAGAUUUGAAAAAGGAGAAAAUCAUAAAACUAAGGGUAAUGGGGAGAGAGCAAAACCAAAGGCAGACAUGGGAAGAUUCUCCUUAUACAAAAUACUUUUUCCAUGUCUAUAAUGAACCCCCAAAUUAUCUGGAUACUUACAACAGUGGUAGCAAGGGAAUGUCUCGUUAAUGCAGGUUCUCUAUUCUCCUCAAUUAAUUUCAGGUCCUUAAUUGUGCAUGACAUAUGAAACAUAAAGGGUGUUUAUUUGCUAAUCACCAGCAUUAAUUAAUUCAAAGACUUACCUGAGAUUCUGUUUGCGCAAUAAAAAUUAAAAAGAUUACUCAGUAAUACAUUGGGAGAGGUGUAACUGGGGCAUUAAAAUACGAAUGUGUGUCUAAUUUUCAAACAUCAUAAGUAUUUUGAAAGCACUUAUACAUAAUCAAUUAAUAUAUGUUGUUAACUAAAUUCAUAUGAAUAAUAUGUGAUAUAAAUUAGUGUUUUGUAUUAAUUUCAAGACAAUUAGAAAGAGAAUGUCACCAUCACUCUUUUGAUUCAAUCAACAGUCCUUAGACUGGUUCCUUGUAAUGAAUUUAAUGGGUUAGUAAAAGCUGUGUUAUUUGAAAUU
This 2106-nucleotide long non-coding RNA is filed under the name Homo sapiens (human). RNAcentral describes it as "HSALNT0104930". Lineage: Eukaryota; Metazoa; Chordata; Mammalia; Primates; Hominidae. The record is from RNAcentral.